GGAUGUGAGGGCAAGUGACAUCUGUCACCCCAUUGAUCACCAGGGUUGAUUCGGCUGAUCUGGCUGGCUAGGCAGGUGUCCCCUUCCUCACACAGCUCCAUGUGCAUCCCGCCCAAAGCUGCACACUUGGUGGAAGGGAUGACCACCCCUGAUGGAGGAAGAUCAUUUCUUCAGUCAAGGGUAUACGAGUAGCUGUGCUCCCCAGCCUCCAAAAUUUAGUUGCCUCUGAAUUCUACAUCUCCUUC
Fukomys damarensis (Damara mole-rat) is the source of this 245-nucleotide unclassified non-coding RNA. Its record names the gene 7SK. It matches the Rfam family "7SK RNA". Rfam says of the family: 7SK was discovered as an abundant small nuclear RNA in the mid-70s but a possible function has only recently been suggested. Two independent studies have found that 7SK RNA binds the CDK9/cyclin T complex (known as elongation factor P-TEFb). NCBI's taxonomy places the organism in Eukaryota, Metazoa, Chordata, Mammalia, Rodentia, Bathyergidae. The record is from Ensembl.